This 253-nucleotide ribosomal RNA is filed under the name uncultured Eubacteriales bacterium. RNAcentral describes it as "uncultured Clostridiales bacterium partial 16S ribosomal RNA". It matches the Rfam family "Bacterial small subunit ribosomal RNA", at positions 524 to 776 of the family's 1533-position model. Lineage: Bacteria; Bacillati; Bacillota; Clostridia; Eubacteriales. The record is from RNAcentral.
UACGUAGGGGGCAAGCGUUAUCCGGAUUUACUGGGUGUAAAGGGAGCGUAGACGGCACUGCAAGUCCGGAGUGAAAGCCCAAGGCUUAACCAUGGGACUGCUCUGGAAACUGUGGAGCUUGAGUGCUGGAGAGGCAAUCGGAAUUCCGUGUGUAGCGGUGAAAUGCGUAGAUAUACGGAGGAACACCAGUGGCGAAGGCGGAUUGCUGGACAGUAACUGACGCUGAGGCGCGAAAGCGUGGGGAGCAAACAGG